GACGUAGGAGGCGAGCGUUGUCCGAAUUCAUUGGGCGUAAAGAGCACGCAGGCGGUUUGGCAAGUCGGAUGUGAAAACCCGGAGCUCAACUCCGGACCUGCAUCCGAAACUGCCCGACUAGAGGUAGGUAGGGGAGAUCGGAAUUCCUGGUGUAGCGGUGAAAUGCGCAGAUAUCAGGAGGAACACCGGUGGCGAAGGCGGAUCUCUGGGCCUUACCUGACGCUCAGGUGCGAAAGCUAGGGGAGCGAACAGG
This 253-nucleotide ribosomal RNA is filed under the name uncultured bacterium. RNAcentral's name for it is "partial 16S ribosomal RNA". It matches the Rfam family "Bacterial small subunit ribosomal RNA", at positions 524 to 776 of the family's 1533-position model. The record is from RNAcentral.